CAUAAAGCUGCUUCUCUGAGUUUUGUCUGGGAGGACAAAAGCAAGCGUAAUUCCUCAUGCACAGGAUCAGCUGGAAGAGUGCUUGGAUUUAUCCAUGGGACCGUGCCUGAUAUGUCUCAGUAUUCAUCAGAAACUCCUAAUUUUUGCACUAGCGUUUACUUGUGCAACUUUUUUUGAGUAUAUAAUCAACAACUUCUUUAUACAUCUGCUGUGGCAUGUGCUGGCUGUGCUACUAUAAAUCCUUGUAUUGAAUGUAGCUCUAAAGCUACUAGAGUUUCACAGGUAUCAAUUCUCCAACAUAAUUCUUAAAAAUAUAAAAUUAGGCAGUAAUGUUGUUAACUUGGAACUCAUAUAUAUUUUCAGCUCAAGAGCUUUCUACAAAACACAUGGCAGAAAAGCAAAAUGAACAACAACAUAAAUUCUGAGUUUGUAAAAUGUUCACUUUCAUUUCCAGCGAUGAUAGUUGUUCCAGUCCUGUCUUAUACUGCCAGAAAAUAUUUAGAAUUACUUAUAUAUACUUGUGAUCCAUUCUGCCAGGCAAAACUGUGUGCUAUAUAAAGACAGAUGUGAAAGAGCUGUGUAUUCUGUCACUUUACUGGUAGAUUGUAUCAUACUGAGACCAGCUGGAGUCAGCGAGAUGGUUCAUAUUUAUCUAGAAGUUUUCAACAUGUUCAUUGAAACAAUACUUCUUUUUUUACUCAAGAAAAAAAAUAUGCAGAGAAAUAGAAAUUAUCGGAGCUCUUCUGUAGGAUGCUAUUGCAGUCAAGACUUGUUGCCUUCGUUCCAGUUGCAUGUGGAGAUGGGUGGAGUGUAGCAGUCACCAGACAGAAAAUAAAACAAAGCACUUGGAGCUGGCAGCUGGACCAAUACAACACAGUAAAAGUUGGCAACAAAGCCCGUGAAUCAUUCCAGAAAUAAAAUGGUAGGGAUUUACGCUUUGGACAAAUAUUACUCUGCAAUAAAAUUAUAUGAAUCUUCAUCAAGAAACGAAUCUAAACAGGAUUUUUUUAUUUUUUUUUUUAGAGGGCUUCAAAAUUAAAUACCUCUGUUGUCCAGUAACUGUGGAGUUUAUAAGAGAAGACCAUCUGUUCCAGAGACCAACAACACAACCUGUGCAGCUAGGCAGCAGGAUAGCACAACUUUAUGCGGGUCCAAUACAAAUAUCAUGGAUAUAUACCAGGAAAACUACAAUACCUAAGUGAGCCUCACUGACAUUUCCUUUUAAAUUCCUGUCUAUAAUGUCUAUCUAAAUGAUUCCCUGGAAGGACAUCCCUGUGCAUCAUGCUUUCUUUUCAGGGCACAAAAGGAAAACUGUGACCUAAGAACUCUGAGAAACAAAUGGAAAAGAAUGAAGUCUGAUCUCGUGACUCCAUUUGGAUUCUUCAUCCAGCACUGCUGGAGGAAUUACAUAGAAAGAGAUGAAGUUCCUGCUAUUGCUGAACGCUGUAGGAGGAACAACAGUAUAAUGGAGAAGAGAAAGGAAUAAUUUGCAGGUAAUGUCACAGGGAAUCAGCUGUGGUUCUCCUACAGUAAAGGUGAGCAGGAAGAGAAACCAAGUCUACAGUGCAAUUGACACUCUGAAAUGGACUGACCACCUGCAGCCAAGCGUGGACCAAAUGGGAAAUAAAAUCAAUAGAAAAUAGAACUUGUCA
This 1652-nucleotide long non-coding RNA is filed under the name Chrysolophus pictus (golden pheasant). Its description in RNAcentral is "lncRNA (ENSCPIG00010003502.1)". The record is from RNAcentral. Lineage: Eukaryota; Metazoa; Chordata; Aves; Galliformes; Phasianidae.